Molecule: long non-coding RNA, 80 nt
Organism: Aricia agestis (brown argus)
Lineage: Eukaryota; Metazoa; Arthropoda; Insecta; Lepidoptera; Lycaenidae
Exons: 3
Source: RefSeq, a predicted model, not a curated record
CUAAUAAGAAUAAUAAUUAUUACCCUAGGUGACCAACCGCGUCACUAAAUUUGAUUUGAUAUUUUCAUACAGUUUUAAUA